This 377-nucleotide ribosomal RNA is filed under the name uncultured bacterium. RNAcentral describes it as "bacterial SSU rRNA". It matches the Rfam family "Bacterial small subunit ribosomal RNA", at positions 521 to 896 of the family's 1533-position model. The record is from RNAcentral.
UAAGACAUAGGUGACGAACGUUAUCCGGAAUUAUUGGGCGUAAAGGAUGCGUAGAUGGUUCGAUAAGUUACUGGUGGGAAAUCGAGGCCCAACCUCGUGGAAGCUGGUAAUACUGUCGAGCUUGAGUGCAGGAGAGGUUAACGGAACUUUAUGUGGAGCGGUAAAAUGCGUAGAUAUAUGAAAGAACACCGAUAUAGCGAAGGCAGUUAACUAUUCUGCUACUGACAUUGAGGCAUGAAAGCGUGGGGAGCAAAACGGAUUAGAUACCCGUGUAGUCCACGCCCUAAACGAUGAGUGCUAGAUAUUGGGAACUUGAUUCUCAGUGUCGCUAGGUAACCCGGUAAGCACUCCGCCUGGGGAGUACGCUCGCAAGAGUG